UACAGAGGAUGCAAGCGUUAUCCGGAAUGAUUGGGCGUAAAGGGCUCGUAGGCGGCCAACUAAGUCAGACGUGAAAUCCCUCGGCUUAACCGGGGAACUGCGUCUGAUACUGGAUGGCUUGAGAUUGGGAGAGGGAUGCGGAAUUCCAGGUGUAGCGGUGAAAUGCGUAGAUAUCUGGAGGAACACCGGUGGCGAAGGCGGCAUCCUGGACCAACACUGACGCUGAGGAGCGAAAGCCAGGGGAGCAAACGGG
This 253-nucleotide ribosomal RNA is filed under the name uncultured bacterium. RNAcentral describes it as "partial 16S ribosomal RNA". It matches the Rfam family "Bacterial small subunit ribosomal RNA", at positions 524 to 776 of the family's 1533-position model. The record is from RNAcentral.